Non-coding RNA from Sus scrofa (pig), 5637 nucleotides. NCBI's taxonomy places the organism in Eukaryota, Metazoa, Chordata, Mammalia, Artiodactyla, Suidae. The record is from RefSeq and is a predicted model, not a curated record.
GCCAGGGAUCAAACCCACAUCCUCGUGGAUACUGGUCAGGUUCAUUACCACUGAGCCACAAUGGGGAACUCCAAACGACCCUGCUCUGACUACGGGUCUCUCUCUUUCCAUUACUUACGCACUUUAAUUUUUCCCAUCCUAGAUUGUAGGCCUCUUUGAAGCAAGAAACUACAGAUUAUUCCCCAUUCCAGGUAUUCCUGGGGUUGUCAGUUCUAAGAGUCAUCUAAUUUUUUUCCAGACCUGGAAUCGAUUGAUCUCAAACGUUGCCUUGGUUUAUGUUUUAAGAAUUCACUUAAUUCCUCUGAAUUCCAAGUUGACCCCACUGUAGCCUUGUUAUUCAGACUCUUUCAGAUUUCUUGGCUAAGUUCAUACAGGGUCAUAAACAAAUGUUUUAAUCAUAUAUUUUUAUAGGUCCUAUUUUUAUAGAACAUGAUUAAAAUUGUUUAAAAAAUAUAGGACUUAACUAUUUUCAUUUCAACUGACAAGUAUGCAGCUAAGUUUUCAUUUUUAUAAAAUCAAUAUUUUUGAGCUAUUUAAAAUACAUUCACAAUAUAUGGACCCUAAAAAAAAGUGUUUUUGGAAGUAACAUUACAUACCACUGCUUUGAAGAAUUCCUGUUGAAAAAUGGAUGCUUUAGAUCUACACAGGAUGGUAUUUGUUCCGCAGCCACCUGGUAUGGAGGGAAGAGUUCAACCUCUGAAAUUUGUUCCCAGCCUUCCCCUCACCUCACCCACCCUGGGGAGGGUAAAACUCAGCUCUGGAGGGGUGGGACGUCAGGUGCAUCCCCAGCUGUGAUCCAGCUGGGUGUGCUCUCAGCCGGAGCAAACGCGGAAGUGUAAGCCAUCUUGAAUUAAUCAUAAUUUUCUCUUGUUGGAGAAACCUCCGCAGCUGCACUGACACUUGACCUUGGGCCGAGUUCUUCUUAAUGGCUCUGUGCAUGGACAGAGAUGGGGUGUGCUGCACAAAACUGCGAUGGUGGCACAAAUUCUCCCUGCUACCCAGGAAGGGAGGGGAUGUGGCUUGUCCAGUCUAACCAAGGAGGGAAAGCAGAAAGAAACCAGCCUCCUCUCGUCGUUUCUCUAUUUCUCCAUAUUGAGUUUAUAACUGACGAUUGACCCGUAGACAUAUCAGUUUGUGAGGCGUGAAUAGUGCAUAGCCCCUUCAUGAUUUGGUAUUUUGAGAAACCAUGAUAUCUCGGCAUUUGGGUACCCCCCCCCCCGAGUGCCGUUCAGUGCCCACCUCCCGUGUGCCUGACCUGAGUGUCACAAUUCUGGAUCUUGUGCAGGAUAAAAGUGACCUAACACCUGUUUUCCACAUCACAGCCUCUGAGGUCUCUGUUAGAUUAAUGGGGCGUAGUUAAUAAGUUAUCAGGAAGAAUGUACCCACGUAUAUUUUAAUGGUCUUUUAUCAUAGCCCCACAAACUAUAAAGCAAUAAAACACAAUAAACUCAUUCUAAUCUUAGGUUAAAUGAUUUUAAGAAACAAUAGCAUUCACUGGCCAGCUAUGUCUGAAAGCUUUCGGUAAAAGCCAGAGUGUGAUACCCUUAUCUUGACUUUUUUCAGUUCAUUUUCUUGAGGCCUGUGUGUUUUCUGAAUGUGUCGUGAACUGUAACUUGCCUAAGGAAUUCCAUUGCAGUUAGAACACUGACUUCAGUGGAUGCCCAUAUAAAUAGCCUGCAGUGAAGGCAUAGUUUGCAUUCUACAUCAUGGAAUGCUAUGUAAAACCUAACUCUAUUGAAAUGCUAAUUCCUGUGGCCAACAUAAACUUGGGUCCUUUCCACAAAGGACGCAAAAGUAGAUAUUGGCAAAUCAAACAAACACAGCUAGUUGGUUUAAGGGAAAAAUGUAAAGUCUGCCCUAUAUGUUUGAGGCAUUUGCGUUGACAGAAUGUGUACUGUAUCAUUUAUCCAAAGCCGAGGGAAAUAGAUUUCUCAACACAAAUUAUGAGUAAAAUUCUAUAAUGAGUAACACAUGAAUCAGAUGUAGCAAGAGUUAAACCAAACAUAAUAAUUCAAAAGUAAUAUUUGUUUUAGAUUUGGAGAAAAAAAAGAAAUCCACCUGAAUUAUUUGUAUUUCAGAAAGGCUAUGCUUUCAGCAAACAUGGAAUACACACAUAAACACAUAGACACCAACACACCCACCUGCACAUGCACACACAGACACACCCCAUAAAGAUACAUAAACACACAGCAUCCAUUUACAUACCAACAUAAAGUAGUAUUAACUCUUGAUCUAUAAUUAAUUGCAAACUAGUUUUUCUUUCUCUUGAAUUUUUGUUCAGAGGACAAGCAAGUGAUCAGCGCCUAUGAGGCACACUUAGUGAAUAUUGGCUGACUUUGACUUAGUUGCAUUAAAUGAGCUCAGGACUGUGUCACAGAAUCCCUGAUUUAGAGAAAGCCACUUACAUACUGAUGGAGUGGAAGGAAUAAGUACACACUUUUGAUGUCAAAUGCUCACCCUGUUUUCCAUGGCAUGUUCCACACCGACACAGAUGCAGGCACAGGGGACAGAAUAUUCUGAAGUUGGAAAAGUGUGUCCAUCACUGGCUCCUAAAGGGACACCUUUAAAACACAAAAAUAAACGCCUAUUUUUCUUCCCUUUGUCUCAUUCUAUUUUGAGCCUCUCUGACACGGUUUGGUUUUUCUAAUAAAUCUCCAGUGCAGAAAGGAAACAAUGCCCAGGCUUCUGGAAGCAGAAGGAACUGUUAACUAAACUAAAGCAGAGAGUAUUAUUUUGCCCAACCUGGGGCAAAGUUAACAUGAAAAGAGGAACAAUUCUUAGAAUGCAGUUAUGUGAAUUUCCAAAUUCAGCCCACACUUCCACAUAAAGCCCUUUGCAGAGCCCACGUUUCUCUUCCAAAAGCGUUCCUUUUAAUUUUUUCCGCAUUGAGGAAUAAACAAACUACAGAGAGGGCGUCUAUUUUUGCUCUUUAGGUUAAACGGGGAGACGCCCAGGAUCUCCGUUUUCCUGAAGUUUGACCCCACUUGCAUGGAAACAAGGACCGGACAAACUGUGGCAUCUGCAGGGACCUCCUCUGGGCAGAUGUGGAAGCGUGAUGGGCCUUUCGCAGGCCCUUCCGCAGGCCCUGCCGCAGUGCCUAAUCUAAGGUAAAUAAGGCUUCGGUAUCCUCAGGUGGAGAACCCACAUUCCUGAAAGCUUUCUUGGGUCCGCAAAAAUAACCAAAAUAAAACGACAAGCCAGAUAAGAUUAUCGCACAACAGACCUAAGAACUGCUUGGCAUUGACGGUCAAUCUCUGCAGAUGCGUUCGGUCAACAAGGAGCCAUAAAAGGAACCAGGGGUUCACAGAGUUUAUUGGUCUCAUGGAAACACAAUAUUGAUCCGACAGGCAGGUCCACCUGAUAGGCUUCAAACACUGGUCAAAUAAUCAGUUACUGAUUUGAAGCAUUCAGAAGAUAAUUUUAAAAUAAUUUCUUCGGUGUGAAAAAAAAAGAAAACACCAUUUCAGUAUUUCAAGCCCUGAACGGUGUGAAGACUUAUGAAUUGCUAAUUCGAGUGAUGUGUAUGGUAGAGUCAAAAUUCUCUUUCAAGACCGAAAUCUUUAUCGGAAGACGUUUAGUGUUGGAUCUUUCACUGCCUUGUGAAACGGUGAAACCAGACGAAGAGCAGGGCAAAUGGAAGGCGAGUUACAGAUAACACAAAUGCCCCCAAACAUUUAUUCAUGUAGAUUCAUAGACUUUCCCCAUAAUUUUGCAUUUAUCAUAGAAUAAGGGGGAGUCAAGUUUUCACCAUGGGAUAGAUUGACUUUACCUAGGUUCCAGGCACAAUACAAAUUUUCCUUAGAUGUAACACUUUCUGAAAGCAAAGUCCUUUUGAAGUCUAGGAAAAAAGAAGAGACUCAUAGAAUGACUUUUCUCUGCGGACUGAUCUUAGGGCUCUUGGAUAAAAUGGACCAGGCACAGCACUUCCAUAAAAACUAGGAUCAUGCCGAUUUUCAGCUUGCUUUUCAUUUUGCAGAAUAAAGAAAAUCAACAAGGUUGUUUCUGACAUACCCAGACCAUCACUUUGUCUACCAUGAAACUGUUUGUCUGACUUUAGAAUCGAUUUAGUAUUUACAGACACCAAAAUACCUUAGGAAGGUGCUUCUUAACCCACUCUGUGGGUUUCCAACCCACUCGCAGUUUGCCUUGCGUUCAGAAUUUGGGCAGAGCUGCCAAUUCCGUGUUAAAAAAGGAAAAAGUGAAAAGAGUUUGUUUCUGCCUCCUUGGAUUCGGUUAACAUCUGCCGUCUUCCUGACCUGGAUUCUGACAACACAAUUGCUAUGAAAUAUUGGUUUGAACUUAAAACCAGAAAUCCUGAGUGUAGUUUUCUGCCAAAUAGGUGCUAGUUAAAACCAGCUGCCUGAAGCGGAACUUUUGCCUGCUUGAAGCUUUGCCUGUGAGCCGAUCUCAGACUGAGCCCUUUCAAAGGAGAGCCUGCUCUGCAUGUGCUUUUCCAGGAUGGAUGAAGGGCAUACUGGUAUUUGCAUCCAUUUUCAAGCCUGACCAUGGAAAAGGAUUCAGACUGAUGCCCAAUGCCUGCCGCAAAGUCUACGUGUCCUAGUGGGACAAGAUUCAGGAUUGUUUCAGGGGAGAAAUCCUGGCUGAAAUUCAGUGGGACACAUCUACACUCUUGAAAUGAAUGUACAAGGUAUUGGGACCCUCCACUGGAAUGAGCUGUGGCAACACCCAGGGCCAGCUGAGCCAUAUUGGAGCCCAGAGUGAAAGUGUCUCGGCCAUUUGUCAAAUGCUUAUGAAGCUUUGCUCUGUGGGAGGCGCCAUGCUGACCGUUGGAGAUGGGAAAGCCAAGGGAAAACGGUCUCCAGGAGUUUAACGUCCAGUGGGAAAGGUAAGAGUGAGAAAUGUGACCAUAUAGCCUGGUCAUCACAAAGCCAUAAACCUGUACCACCGUAAAGAAACACCGGCUGUAACCACGUUUCCGCCCUCAGACUUGGGAAGCCUCCAUCAGGGGAGCACAGUUUGAAUGGAGCCUUUCCUAGGAGUUUUCCUGGCAAAGACACAAGUAAGAAGGGCGUGGGUGGACCCUGGUCAUGCCCAGGGCACGUGUGAGGUGUGAAAAAGCUGACAGUUCCCAGGAGGGUGGUGGCGUCAGGGGAGGGUAUGUCAAAAGGAGUGGAAAGAGAUGCCCAAAGAAGGCGCCGUCGGCUGAGGUGAAGGUCCUGUUGAACGGAGUCUGCAUCUCACAUCCUGGAAGCCGACAAAGCAUCGUAAGCACGGGAGUUAUCCGUUCAAUUGUUUGUUGAAAGCUGAUUUUGACAGCAAGGUGGGAAAGGGACUGAGUGACGCAGGUUUGGAAAUCAGGGUCACUGUCAGUAAAUCUUGAUGGAAUAUGUUCUAAUAGUUGAGAGGGGAAAUACCAAAUCCACACGGUGUUAGAGUGAGGGGAACAGAGUGGCCCACAUGAAGAAUCCACAGAGAAUGGAUACAAUUUGGGUGUUCACGCGUUUCUAGUUUGGAAGGCUGGUUGACAAUGAGGGUAUCAAUGGAGAUGCAGGAUAUAGUAGGUAGACCAUGAUUUAAGGGAGGCAUUAAAGACUACACACUGCAAGAGUUCCCAUUGUGGUUCAGCAGAAACGAAUCUGACUGGGAUCCAUGAGGACGCAGGUUCGAUCCCUGGCC